This 916-nucleotide ribosomal RNA is filed under the name uncultured bacterium. Its description in RNAcentral is "bacterial SSU rRNA". It matches the Rfam family "Bacterial small subunit ribosomal RNA", at positions 8 to 916 of the family's 1533-position model. The record is from RNAcentral.
AGAGUUUGAUCAUGGCUCAGAACAAACGCUGGCGGCGUGUCUUAAGCAUGCAAGUUGAGCGGCAAGGAGGAGAGAUCCUCCCUAGAGCGGCGGACUGGUGAGUAACGCGUGGGUAAUCUAUCUUAGGCAUGGGGAUAGUCACUAGAAAUAGUGGGUAAUACCGAAUAAGUUCCAUAAGGGGAGGACUUAUGGAAGAAAGGUGCUACGGCACUGGCCUUAGGUGAGCUCGCGUCCCAUUAGCUAGUUGGUGAGGUAAAGGCCCACCAAGGCGAUGAUGGGUAGCCGGCCUGAGAGGGUGUACGGCCACACUGGGACUGAGAUACGGCCCAGACUCCUACGGGAGGCAGCAGCUAAGAAUAUUCCGCAAUGGACGGAAGUCUGACGGAGCGACGCCGCGUGGAUGAAGAAGGCCGAAAGGUUGUAAAGUUCUUUUGCUAGGGGAGAAUAAGUGUGGGAGGGAAUGCCUGCACGAUGACAAGGACUAGCGAAUAAGUCCCGGCCAACUACGUGCCAGCAGCCGCGGUAACACGUAGGGGGCGAGCGUUGUUCGGAAUUACUGGGCGUAAAGGGCAUGUAGGCGGCUUGGUAAGCCUGGCGUGAAAGUCUGCAGCUUAACUGUAGGGAUGCGUUGGGAACUGCUUAGCUUGAGUUACGGAGAGGGAGCUGGAAUUCCUGGUGUAGGGGUGAAAUCUGUAGAUAUCAGGAAGAACACCGAUGGCGAAGGCAAGCUUCUGGCCGACAACUGACGCUGAGGUGCGAAAGUGUGGGGAUCAAACAGGAUUAGAUACCCUGGUAGUCCACACAGUAAACGAUGUGCACGAGGUGCUGGGGCGGUAGUUUCAGUGCCGGAGCGAACGCGGUAAGUGCACCGCCUGGGGAGUAUGCUCGCAAGGGUGAAACUCAAAUGAAUUGACGG